GACGAACGCUGGCGGCGCGCCUAACACAUGCAAGUCGAACGGAGCUUUGAGAGCUUGCUUUUAAAGCUUAGUGGCGAACGGGUGAGUAACGCGUGAGUAACCUGCCCUGGAGUGGGGGACAACAGUUGGAAACGACUGCUAAUACCGCAUAAGCCCACGGCCCGGCAUCGGGCUGAGGGAAAAGGAGUGAUCCGCUUUGAGAUGGCCUCGCGUCCGAUUAGCUAGUUGGUGAGGUAACGGCCCACCAAGGCAACGAUCGGUAGCCGGACUGAGAGGUUGAACGGCCACAUUGGGACUGAGACACGGCCCAG
This 311-nucleotide ribosomal RNA is filed under the name uncultured bacterium. RNAcentral's name for it is "bacterial SSU rRNA". It matches the Rfam family "Bacterial small subunit ribosomal RNA", at positions 28 to 334 of the family's 1533-position model. The record is from RNAcentral.